Long non-coding RNA from Clupea harengus (Atlantic herring), 367 nucleotides. RefSeq lists it as uncharacterized. NCBI's taxonomy places the organism in Eukaryota, Metazoa, Chordata, Actinopteri, Clupeiformes, Clupeidae. The transcript is spliced from 2 exons. The record is from RefSeq and is a predicted model, not a curated record.
AAGAGAAUUUAUACCUCAGCGUAAGUUUUAAAACAGGAAAGAUCCUGGCUAGAUCAUUCCGUCGCUGAGUCACUGCCUGUCAUCAUUCAGUGUCAGUUACGUAUAAGAAAGAGUACAAAUCAAAGACAUUCAGUAGGUUAUUGCACUGAGCAUGUGUGUGUGUGUUCAAUCCAACGCUGUCAUGUCAGGUUAUUGCACUGACUGUGUGUGUGUGUGUGUGUGUGUGUGUGUGUGACUGUGUGUGUGAGACUGUGUGUUCAAUCCAACGCUGUCAUGUCAGAUUAUUGCACUGACUGUGUGUUCAAUCCAAUGCUGUCAUGUCAGGUUGCCACAAUAUGGACUGUGUGAAUAAUACACUUUACAAUCA